Non-coding RNA from Cajanus cajan (pigeon pea), 5116 nucleotides. The record is from RefSeq and is a predicted model, not a curated record. Lineage: Eukaryota; Viridiplantae; Streptophyta; Magnoliopsida; Fabales; Fabaceae.
GGGUUCGUGGACCACUCGUUCAAAAGAAGAGAAAGAAAAACCCCUUUUAACAUGUUUUCAACCAGAAAAAAGGAUAUUUCAUAUUUUUAUGGGUUAUAAAAGUAAUUAAAAUAAGAUAACUCGAAAGUUUCUGAUAAGGGCAACGCUACUAUUAACCUAAGAAAGAAAUACUGUAUAAAAAAACUGCGAUAAUUCUUCAUUUUCUCAUCAUCACAUUACAAAAGAGAUAUAUAGUGAGGUGAACCGUAGGAACAUAGGGUCAUCAGGCCCACUACGAGACUUGGUGGAAGAUAAAAAAAGGAAAUACAAUAACAUUUUAGUCCAAAAGGAAAGCCCAAUUAGACCUUGUAAUCCUUAAGCCAAAACGGGGGGCGCCUAUCCCUAGUCCUGCGAAGUGGGCUUAUAUCAUUGCCCGCCCCUUGAAAAAUGACUUCGUCCUCGAAGUCCAAAUGGGAAUCUGAUGUGGCAGUUGUGUUUUUAGUGAAUGGCACAAAUGCGGUCAAGGGUUGAGGGCCACGGAUCGAGCUUUGAUCCAACGGCUGUGUGGAGAUGGAGUCUUCUGGAUGCGCGGAAGUGGAGCCUUGAAGUGGAAAGUCAGACUGGGUUGCAUUAUUAUUUGCAUCAUGUGUGGGAGAAGAGAGAGAGAGUUCGAGGGAAGCUUCAGGGGUUUCACCAUGGAGUGUGGCUAUGGCUCGAGGUGGUUCGCCGUGGAAUUGCCGGAGAAGAGAAACAUGAAAAAUUGGAUGGACCGCCGCGGAGGAGGCAGAUCAAGCUCGUACGCGACAGCGCCAAUGCGACGCACCACCUGGAAAGGCCCUUGAAAAUGUCGACGAAGCUUCUGCGAUGUGGAACGACCCAAGGAUAGCUGGCGGUACGGCUGAAGACGCAAAAAACUCAGUCGCUGGGGUUGAAGGAGGGAGGCGACUGAAACAACUGUGGUGGGUGGCGACACAAAAUCUGGAAAAGCGGGAGGAGCGCGACCAUACAAAGCUUGGAAGGGAGUCAUGCCUAAAGCUGACUGAAGUGUGGUGUUGUACCAAAAUUCGGCUAAGUGAAGGAAGAGGUACCAAUGGCGUGGGAAGUCCCCUGCAAAGCAACGUAAAUAUGCUGUCAGCACUCGAUUAACCACCUCCGUUUGGCCGUCAAUUUUCGGGUGGUAGGCGGAAGAAAAGCAGAGUUUGGUGCCAUGAAGGCGAAAAAGUUCACGCCAGAAGGAGCUGAGGAAAACUUUAUCCCGAUUAGAGACGAUGGUGCGCGGAAACCCGUGGAGGCGGACAAUUUCUAUCAUGAAUUGGGAAGCCAGGGAGGAGGCAUUAAAAUGUGUGGGCAAGGCAAUGAAAUGCGCAUAUUUAGAAAGGCGAUCCACGACGACCCAAAUGACUGUGUGACCAACUGACGACGAAAGAUGGGUGGAGCACGAGCGGACAAAAGCCUUGACGUCCUUUGCCAUAGUUGGCCAAGCGAAGGAAGCCGCCAGGCGAGCUAAAGUGGCUUUGACACCAGAAUGACCAGCCAUAGGUGAGGCAUGAAACUCGUGCAAAAUGGAUGAGCGCAAGGAAGGAAUCUCGGGAAUGAAAAGGCGGUUUUUGAAAUACACCAAGCCAUGAGAAACUGUGAAAUGGGGCGUGGCGUGUGUAACAGAAGAGAGCUGUCGGACUAAGGCAAGACCAUUCGCGUGAGUGGAAAAGAAAUUUUUGAGCUGCUCAACAAUGUCAGGGAUGAUGGUGGAAAUUGCCAGAAAUAUGAGCUCUGGGUAUCAGGAACACGGGACAAGGCAUCAGUAACUCGAUUUUGCUUCCCAGAGGCAACUUGGAGUUUAGAACAGAGCUUUUUACUGAAGUACGCAAUGGGAUGGCCAGAUUGAAGGAGAAUCGCGCCAACUAUCGUGGAGAAAGCAUCUGUUUCGAUAUCAAAUGUAGCACGAAAGUCGGGCAGGGCUAACAUAGGAGCAGUAGUUAGGGCCUCUUGUAAUUUCUUAAAUGCUUCCAUCUCUGUAUCAGACCAUUGAAAUGAGGUAUUGGAACGUAGGAGAUCCGUGAGGGGUGCGGCCAAAGCUGCAUAAUGGUGAAUGAAGCGCUUGUAAAAUCUUGUAAGGCCCAAGAAGCCAUGCAGGGUAGUGAGGUUAUGUGGGGGAGGCCAGUCUAAUAUCGCUUGGACCUUUGAUGGGUCUGGCUGGACCCCCUGGGCUGAUAUAAUGUGGCCCAAGUAGUGAAUAGAGGAGGCCGCAAAUGAACAUUUCGACAAUUUAGCAAAGUAAGAAUGGUGAGCUAAUAACUGUAAAAUUAAAUCAACAUGAACAAGGUGAUCAGUAAGAGAGGAACUGUAAAUCAGAAUAUCAUCAAAAAAAACCAGCACAAACUUGCGUAAGUGAGGGCGUAAAAGAUCAUUCAUGGCUGCUUGAAAUGUGGCCGGAGCAUUAGUAAGCCCAAAGGGCAUUACUAAAAACUCAUAAUGACCGUCAUGAGUGCGGAAAGCAGUUUUGUGGGUGUCGCUGGGGUUCAUCCUAAUUUGAUGAUACCCCGAGCGCAAAUCGAUCUUAGAGAAAAUAGUAGCAUUGCCCAACUCGUCUAGUAGUUCAUCAAUGGUUGGGAUAGGAAAACGUUCUUUGAUGUUAAUGGAGUUGAGAGCCCGAUAAUCAACACAAAAACGCUAUGUAUUAUCUUUUUUACGAACCAAUAAAACUGGGGAGGAAAAAGGGUUGUGGCUUGGUAUAAUUAAGUCUUCCUGUAAUAAUUCAGAAACAAUGGAGGAAAUGGUGUCUUUCUGUGCAUGAGGGUAACGGUAUGGUUUAACAUUGACUGGGGAAGAGUGAGAAAGGAGGGUGAUGUGGUGGUCAUGUGAACAAACUGGGGGCAACCCAUGGGGCGUAUGGAAAAUAGUGGAGUAUUGGAGAAUUAUCUUUUGAAAAUCUGGGGAAAGAUGGGAAAUGGAGUUUGGAAGGCUAGUAGGUUCAGUAUCUGGUGAAGGGGUUUGGGUAAAAGUUAAGAGGUGUAAGGAGGUAAUGGCAUCAUGGUGUAGGAAGUGGAGAAAUUGUGGGUAGGAAGCUGAGUAGGGGGUAGGUUGGUAGAUUCCAAUAAGGUGAUAAGGGUAUGAUCGUGGGUAAAUGUCAUGCAAGGAACAGAGAAAUUGGAAACGAUGGACCCCAAUGUUUGUAACCAAGCAAUACCUAAAACCAAAUCUGCUCCAGCAAUGGAUAAAAGAUAACAAGGAAUGGUAAAUUUGUGGGAUUGAAUAGUGAGAUCCACGUGAGGACAAAAGCCCGUACAUUGAAUAGUGUCACCAUUGCCAACCAUAACCUGGAAAGGGGAAAUUGGGUUAAUGGGAAGGUUUAGGUGAUUGGCUAAAUGAGGUUGUAGUAUAUUAUGAGAACUGCUUGUAUCCACCAAAAUAGUAACAGUAAUACUCGCAAUUGACCCUUGAAACCUUAGGGUUUUGGGUGAAGGGGAACCCAUAAGAGCUUGAGGGGAAAGUUGGAGAGGGAGAAUGGUUGAGUCUAUUUGGGGUGGGGAAGAAGGGGGAGAGGGGUCAAAAAUAGGAGAAGUGGAAUGAGGGUCAUCAUCUUCGGUGAGGAGAAGAAGAAAUUGUUUGGGCUUACAACAGUGAGUGGGGUGAAACUUCUCAUCACAGUUAUAACACAAUCCCAAGGCACGUCGCUCUUGGAGUUGGGCUUGGGUCAAACGUUUGACAGGAAGGGUUGGGGAAGUAGUGGUAGAACCAACUGUUGAAGACGGAGGAGCUGGAAGGGAGGGUUUGGGUGGUGGAAGGGUAGAAUAGGGUUUGUGAGGAACAAGGCGAGGGGAGGUCCGAGAUUUGGAAGCAGACAAUUUGGAUUCAACCAGUUUAGCUAGGUCAAUGGCUUGGUUGAUGGAUUGGGGGCGGUGGAGGGCUAAUUCCUCUUGAAUUGCAGGUAAUAAUCCAGAGAUGAAACAAUGUAAUAUAGAGUCAGGAGAUAAUCGAUGACGGACCCUUGUUGGCGAAGUUUAAAUAACAUUUGUUGGUGGUUUUCAUAGGAUGACGGUCCAAAUCGAAGCUCUAAAGAACGGGUAAAUGACUCCCAAUCCUGCAGCUGGUGGUUAAAAUGCAUCCAUUUAAACCAACUUAAGGCAUCACCCUUCAUAUAAAAUGAAAUCAUAGGCAAACGUUGCUCAGGGGCCACAUUGUGAAACAAGAAAAAUUGCUCGGCCUGAAAAAUCCAAUCUAAAGGAUGUGAGCCAUCAAAAGGGGCUAGUUGGAGUUUGGGGAGGCGAAGGUUUGGGUUGGAAGGAGGGUUAUGCGUAUAUGAGGAAAAUUGUUGAAAUGGGUUAUGGGAAGGACCAGGGUUAUGAGGAAAUGGGGUAAAAUAUGGGGGAAAAGGGGAGAAACCUGGAAGGUGUGUGGUGUUGGAAGAGGGCCCAGAGGUCACGAGGAUCACAGGUGGGGCUGUAGAGGUGUUGGUGGAGUGUAUGUGAGCACCUUGGCUUGGAUUAGCCAUAGAAAGAGCUUGAACUUUCUCAAUCAGGGUGGCACUGGUACUAGUGAGAGCAUCAUGACGGUGAGCCAUGGCUGCCUGGAGUUGGUCAAUACGUUGAUCAUGCUGCUGGGUAAUGGUGUUGAGAUGAUCCGUGAGGGCUUGCACGGCAUCUUCAAGGUCCUUGUUAUGCUUGGGGGGUAUGAGGGUCGAUGAAAGCACCAGAUGAUAAGGGCAACACUACUAUUAACCUAAGAAAGAAAUACUGUAUAAAAAAAAUUGUGAUAAUUCUUCAUUUUCUCAUCAUCACAUUACAAAAGAGAUAUAUAGUGAGGUGAACCGUAGGAACAUAGGGUCAUCAGGCCCACUACGAGACUUGGUGGAAGAUAAAAAAAGGAAAUACAAUAACAUUUUAGUCCAAAAGGAAAGCCCAAUUAGACCUUGUAAUCCUUAAGCCAAAACGGGGGAUGCCUAUCCCUAGUCCUGCGAAGUGGGCUUAUAUCAGUUUCAUAACUCUGGAGACGAAAAGAAUGUUUGUUAUAUUUUCAUGUAAUAAGUCCUAAAUAAUAAUAAUAAUAAUUGUGUUAUAAAAGGAAGAAAAAUAUAGAAAACAAAUAAGAUAAUGUGAGAUGGAGAAAAGAAUUUGAUUAGUGUAUUAUCUUUGGGAGA